GUUGCAUUUUCGUGGCCAUAGGGCCAUGCUUGUGUGUAUGCGUGUGUGGCCUCAAAGUGCACAUUGCACAGGGCACAAGAAGCUGGCGGCGCUGGCGCUGGCACCCAGGCAGGCAAGUCAGGCAGGCGCUUGCCACAACCAGCUGGCGGACGGGCGGGGCGGAUAUGUGCCUACCGUGUCCCCCGUGUGUGCGCGCGCUGAACGCGCCGAAAACCGUUGCUCCGGAGCCCCGAAGAAGUCUCCCGGCGGAUCGGAUGCUGUGGGGAAAACGCGAACGGAAGGAUGAAAUGUGUAUUCAAAUUUGUGUGGAGCCUUGGAGCCGAAAGCCCCGUCCCAGCCUGCGAAGGAUACUGCGUUUCUCGAGACUCGAGACGCGCAAGUCUGGUCACCGUCGAGACCAAGGGUGGUGAGUUCGGAGCCCGAGCCCCCCGAAGGGCACUGCAAGCUGUCGAGAGCGAGAUCCGCAGCAUCCUCCAGGGGUGAUCCAGCGCAUCCAGAAAUCACGG
This is a long non-coding RNA of Anopheles bellator, 506 nucleotides long. RefSeq lists it as uncharacterized. The transcript is spliced from 3 exons. The record is from RefSeq and is a predicted model, not a curated record. NCBI's taxonomy places the organism in Eukaryota, Metazoa, Arthropoda, Insecta, Diptera, Culicidae.